GUAGGAGGCAAGCGUUGUCCGGAAUUAUUGGGCGUAAAGCGCGCGCAGGCGGUUCUUUAAGUCUGAUGUGAAAGCCCACGGCUCAACCGUGGAGGGUCAUUGGAAACUGGAGAACUUGAGUACAGAAGAGGAAAGCGGAAUUCCACGUGUAGCGGUGAAAUGCGUAGAGAUGUGGAGGAACACCAGUGGCGAAGGCGGCUUUCUGGUCUGUAACUGACGCUGAGGCGCGAAAGCGUGGGGAGCAAACAGGAUUAGAUGCCCUGGUAGUCCACGCCGUAAACGAUGAGUGCUAAGUGUUAGGGGGUUUCCGCCCCUUAGUGCUGCAGCUAACGCAUUAAGCACUCCGCCUGGGAGUACGGCCGCAAGGCUG
RNAcentral lists this ribosomal RNA (370 nucleotides) under uncultured organism. RNAcentral's name for it is "partial 16S ribosomal RNA". It matches the Rfam family "Bacterial small subunit ribosomal RNA", at positions 527 to 896 of the family's 1533-position model. The record is from RNAcentral.